GGCCGAGGUGCAUUAAGCUUCGCUCAGGGAGAAACAAUGCAUUUUAUCAUAGGGCCGGACAGCUACAUGCACAAGAUGCUACCUACAGGGAUUGGUUUUGGCCAGAUGUGCAGGAGAGAUGCAUAGAGAGGAAGAAAUGCAUACAUGCGUGCGGAUUUUGGCGUGUGCACAAGUAGCCUCGAGGAUUUUCUUUGGGUCUGCAGUCAAAAUGGAUUUCCAAGAGGAAGCUGUCCGAACACACAUCUCUUCCCUGUGCUACAUAUGGUCCCAUCUCCAACAGCCAGGUUUUCAGGAAAGUGAUCAGCACCUGCUUCAGCUCUGGCUCGGGAUCUUUGGCCAAUGUGAUGGGCAGAAAACUGGAAUGAGGGCAGAAAAGCACCUCGGAGGCUUGAAGAGUCAAGUCUCCCACCACCUUGCUAAUGGAGCCAGAGAGAAAUUUAUCUUGGAACUAAUGUUCACGAAGACCUUCCAGUUCAGACUCAAUACCGUUGCCAAGUCAGGGUGUUUGGGAGUUUGGGCAUGCCUCAUAGUCCUGGGGUAGGUGGAAGAUUCUCUGAAUCACAGUAUCGACCAUCUGGGGAAGCCUGCCCUGAACAAUUCUGUGACACAAGAAUCAUCCUCUAAAACACACAUAGACUUUCUUGUUCUUAUUCUCUAAUCCUCGAAUAUAUUAAGCAGUUUGAAAUGAAAAUGGAUUGUCCUUGUUUUGAAAGUAGGUUUGAAGAUUUUCUUCUGUAUCUAUUACCUCUCACACAAUGCUUGCCUAAGUCCUGGGCAUGUAAUACCUG
Molecule: long non-coding RNA, 788 nt
Filed under: Saimiri boliviensis boliviensis (Bolivian squirrel monkey)
Lineage: Eukaryota; Metazoa; Chordata; Mammalia; Primates; Cebidae
Description: lncRNA (ENSSBOG00000036432.1)
Source: RNAcentral